RNAcentral lists this ribosomal RNA (508 nucleotides) under uncultured bacterium. RNAcentral describes it as "partial 16S ribosomal RNA". It matches the Rfam family "Bacterial small subunit ribosomal RNA", at positions 355 to 858 of the family's 1533-position model. The record is from RNAcentral.
UGGGGAAUUUUGGACAAUGGGCGCAAGCCUGAUCCAGCCAUGCCGCGUGCGGGAAGAAGGCCUUCGGUUGUAAACCGCUUUUGUCAGGGAAGAAAUCUUCUGAGUUAAUACCUCGGGAGGAUGACGGUACCUGAAGAAUAAGCACCGGCUAACUACGUGCCAGCAGCCGCGGUAAUACGUAGGGUGCAAGCGUUAAUCGGAAUUACUGGGCGUAAAGCGUGCGCAGGCGGUUUUGUAAGACAGAGGUGAAAUCCCCGGGCUCAACCUGGGAACUGCCUUUGUGACUGCAAGGCUUGAGUGCGGCAGAGGGGGAUGGAAUUCCGCGUGUAGCAGUGAAAUGCGUAGAUAUGCGGAGGAACACCGAUGGCGAAGGCAAUCCCCUGGGCCUGCACUGACGCUCAUGCACAAAGCGUGGGGAGCAAACAGGAUUAGAUACCCUGGUAGUCCACGCCCUAAACGAUGUCAACUGGUUGUUGGGAAGGUUCCUUCUCAGUAACGUAGCUAACGC